UAAACUAGGGAUUGAUACCCUAUUAUUCUAAAUUAAAAUGAAAUAUAUUAAAUAUUAAAUGUGAAACAUUAAAUUUAAAUAAUUUGGCGGUAUUUUAGAAAGUUAGAGGAAUCUGUUAAGUAAAUGAUAUUCCACGAUAGGAAUGUCCUAAUAAAUUUUUAUAUAUUGUUGUAUUAAUAUUAAUUUAGAAGAAUUUAAUAGAGAUUCAUUAUAUUGGAUUAAUUCAAAUCAAAAUGUAGAAUUAUUAGGUUUAAAUGGAUUACAAUUUAUAGAAUAAAUUGGAGUUUAAUUUUUAAUUAAUUAAAUAAAAGUGGAUUUAAUAGUAAAUUUAUAAAAUUUUAUAAUUUGAAUUAAAUAUAAAAUAUGUACAAAUUGCCUUCAUUUUCAAAA
RNAcentral lists this ribosomal RNA (390 nucleotides) under Crematogaster modiglianii. Its description in RNAcentral is "partial 12S ribosomal RNA". Lineage: Eukaryota; Metazoa; Arthropoda; Insecta; Hymenoptera; Formicidae. The record is from RNAcentral.